ACGGGAGGCAGCAGUGGGGGAUAUUGGACAAUGGGGGAAACCCUGAUCCAGCGACGCCGCGUGAGUGAAGAAGUAUUUCGGUAUGUAAAGCUCUAUCAGCAGGGAAGAAAAAAUCAAAAUUGACUGUACCUGACUAAGAAGCUCCGGCUAACUACGUGCCAGCAGCCGCGGUAAUACGUAGGGAGCAAGCGUUAUCCGGAUUUACUGGGUGUAAAGGGAGCGUAGGCGGUUCGGCAAGUCAGAUGUGAAAACCCGGGGCUCAACCCCGGGACUGCAUUUGAAACUGUCGAACUAGAGUAUCGGAGAGGUAAGUGGAAUUCCUAGUGUAGCGGUGAAAUGCGUAGAUAUUAGGAGGAACACCAGUGGCGAAGGCGGCUUACUGGACGGUAACUGACGUUGAGGCUCGAAAGCGUGGGGAGCAAACAGGAUUAGAUACCCUGGUA
This 443-nucleotide ribosomal RNA is filed under the name uncultured Lachnospiraceae bacterium. RNAcentral's name for it is "partial 16S ribosomal RNA". It matches the Rfam family "Bacterial small subunit ribosomal RNA", at positions 341 to 792 of the family's 1533-position model. The record is from RNAcentral. Lineage: Bacteria; Bacillati; Bacillota; Clostridia; Lachnospirales; Lachnospiraceae.